This is a long non-coding RNA of Musa acuminata AAA Group (dessert banana), 297 nucleotides long. RefSeq lists it as uncharacterized. NCBI's taxonomy places the organism in Eukaryota, Viridiplantae, Streptophyta, Magnoliopsida, Zingiberales, Musaceae. The transcript has 2 exons. The record is from RefSeq and is a predicted model, not a curated record.
CGCGGGUCUCGCCCCGCAAACCUUCGAAAACGUCACUUCUCUGAUCAAGAAUAGAUCUGCAGGGAGGCGGAAGGUGGGCAUGGUGCUCUUGCCCGUAGCCUCAGUUGCAGUGCGAUCAUCCUUUUCCGUCGUCGGUGAAGCAUUCUUCUCGACAUUUAUAAGCUUCAAUGGGAUAACCAGCUCAACCAUUCUGGUCUUUGUACGUGUCCACCAGUUGUAUAUAGGGCCUAUUAUAUAUAAUAAGAUGUGCUUCCCUAUGUAUAUUUUAUAUGGAAUUAUAAUGACCAAAGUUAGUGA